CGUCAAACAGAGCCGCCCACAUGGGUCUACGUGUCUGGAGAACAUUGCUGCGUUACAUUCCUCCUGAUGUUCUCUACGUCUCUUUGGUCACACUGCACUGAAUUUCUGGAAAUAGAGCAAAGGAUCUAAUCAGAGCUGCUCUGCAGGAAAACACGCUCAGAAACAGAGUCAGCUGGAGAUGUCCCUAUACAGAUCACCAUCAGUUCAACAACAUACAACAUCGUUUGCCCAUGACACAUCAAGGAUUCAUGCAUCAUGCAACAGCAGUCUGUUGAAGUAAACGUUUAGUUCAAAAUACUCUGAAUUCCCUUGAGCGAAGUGCUAAAAUCAUGAAACUGUGACAGAAAAGUAUGGCUUUCAAGCAGGUCAGUGACCCUGAGCUCGCGAUUUGACAGAAAACGACUCAUUGCCCUUGUCACAGUGAAGACGGCUGAUGACUUUCAGAGUCUGUGACGUUUUUGACAAUAACUACCCCGAUGAGAGCUAGCUUUUUGGACAGGAACUAGACUGCAUUUUUGGCAGUGCCUAUUUAUUGCGAUUGGCAAGAUGAUUCAUGCCCAUUGAUAUGGGAUUUGAUGACUCUGUGCUGCCAAGUGAGUCAAAAGGCACUUUAACCAGUAUUAUGGAUUAAAAAGGUAUGAAUUGUAAUGCA
Molecule: long non-coding RNA, 652 nt
Organism: Carassius gibelio (silver crucian carp)
Lineage: Eukaryota; Metazoa; Chordata; Actinopteri; Cypriniformes; Cyprinidae
Exons: 3
Source: RefSeq, a predicted model, not a curated record